CAGACGGGUGGCAGCAGGGAGGAAUAUGGGGCAAUGGAAGCAAGGCUGAACAAGAGAGGAAGAGGGCAGGAAGACGGCUCUAUGAGUUGUAAACUGCUUUUGUACGAGGGUAAACGCAGAUACGCGUAUCUGUCUGAAAGUAUCGUACGAAUAAGGAUCGGCUAACUCCGUGCCAGCAGCCGCGGUAAUACGGAGGACUCAAGCGUUAUCCGGAUUUAUUGGGUUUAAAGGGUGCGUAGGCGGUCGGAUAAGUUAGAGGUGAAAUCCCGAGGCUCAACUUCGGAAUUGCCUCUGAUACUGUUCGGCUAGAGAGUAGUUGCGGUAGGCGGAAUGUAUGGUGUAGCGGUGAAAUGCUUAGAGAUCAUACAGAACACCGAUUGCGAAGGCAGCUUACCAAGCUACUUCUGACGUUGAGGCACGAAAGCGUGGGGAGCAAACAGGAUUAGAUACCCGGGUAGUC
RNAcentral lists this ribosomal RNA (460 nucleotides) under uncultured bacterium. RNAcentral's name for it is "partial 16S ribosomal RNA". It matches the Rfam family "Bacterial small subunit ribosomal RNA", at positions 338 to 795 of the family's 1533-position model. The record is from RNAcentral.